AGUGAACGCUGGCGGUAGGCCUAACACAUGCAAGUCGAACGGCAGCACAGUAAGAGCUUGCUCUUACGGGUGGCGAGUGGCGGACGGGUGAGGAAUACAUCGGAAUCUACUUUUUCGUGGGGGAUAACGUAGGGAAACUUACGCUAAUACCGCAUACGACCUACGGGUGAAAGCAGGGGAUCUUCGGACCUUGCGCGAUUGAAUGAGCCGAUGUCGGAUUAGCUAGUUGGCGGGGUAAAGGCCCACCAAGGCGACGAUCCGUAGCUGGUCUGAGAGGAUGAUCAGCCACGCUGGAACGGAGACACGGUCCAGACUCCUACGGGAGGCAGCAGUGGGGAAUAUUGGACAAUGGGCGCAAGCCUGAUCCAGCCAUACCGCGUGGGUGAAGAAGGCCUUCGGGUUGUAAAGCCCUUUUGUUGGGAAAGAAAAGCAGCAGGUUAAUACCCCGCUGUUCUGACGGUACCCAAAGAAUAAGCACCGGCUAACUUCGUG
RNAcentral lists this ribosomal RNA (492 nucleotides) under uncultured bacterium. RNAcentral's name for it is "partial 16S ribosomal RNA". It matches the Rfam family "Bacterial small subunit ribosomal RNA", at positions 29 to 507 of the family's 1533-position model. The record is from RNAcentral.